This is a long non-coding RNA of Salvelinus fontinalis (brook trout), 686 nucleotides long. RefSeq lists it as uncharacterized. NCBI's taxonomy places the organism in Eukaryota, Metazoa, Chordata, Actinopteri, Salmoniformes, Salmonidae. The record is from RefSeq and is a predicted model, not a curated record. The transcript is spliced from 2 exons.
UUAUGAUGUUGUCAGGGUGGGGGGGGGCUGUACCUGGGUCAGAGAAACCACAUGGUGAUCAUGAUGUUGGCAGGGUGGGGGGGGGCUGUACCUGGGUCAGAGAAACCACAUGGUGAUCAUGAUGUUGUCAGGGUGGGGGGGCUGUACCUGGGUCAGACAAACCACAUGGUGAUCAUUCCGUGCAAGAUUAUUUAUUCUAGCUAGUACUCACACACAAGUCUUCUAAUAAAGACCGAGACGAUCAAUCACUCAAGUAACUCUGUGAAAUCAGCAACAUUAACGGGUCCAAAUCGAGCAAAACACUUCAAAAUAAAAGUCUUCCAUUUACUUAUUUGAUUUAUUUGACCUUUUAUUUAAGCAGGGAGUCACCAUUGAGAACGAGGUCUCUUUCACAAGAGAGUCUUGUAUUGAACACUUGAACAUAACAAAUUGGAGUAUAUUUUGGCGCUUUCAAGAUGGAGUAUUUUUUUGGCUAUUUCUACUGGUGUUUUUGUAAAUAGGUAUUCUUCCAAGGUAGGUAAAUUAAAUAAAUGCAACCAGUACAUGUUAAAAAACAUAAUUAUUUGAAUAAGGGGACAUCGAAAUGUGUAUUAAACAAUAACGUUAAAUAUAAAUUAGUUGAAAAGGAAUGAAUGAUUUGAAAUGUAAAGAUUCUGCAUUAAAUAAUAUCUGGAGUAACAGUUUAA